GUAGGGGGCAAGCGUUAUCCGGAUUUACUGGGUGUAAAGGGAGCGUAGACGGAUAAGCAAGUCUGAUGUGAAAAUCCGGGGCUCAACCCCGGAAUUGCAUUGGAAACUGCAUAUCUAGAGUGUCGGAGAGGCAAGUGGAAUUCCUGGUGUAGCGGUGAAAUGCGUAGAUAUCAGGAGGAACACCAGUGGCGAAGGCGGUUUGCUGGACGAUGACUGACGUUGAGGCUCGAAAGCGUGGGGAGCAAA
Molecule: ribosomal RNA, 246 nt
Filed under: uncultured bacterium
Lineage: Bacteria
Description: partial 16S ribosomal RNA
Rfam family: Bacterial small subunit ribosomal RNA
Source: RNAcentral